Abortiporus biennis is the source of this 94-nucleotide non-coding RNA. The record is from the annotation of a GenBank genome assembly. Lineage: Eukaryota; Fungi; Basidiomycota; Agaricomycetes; Polyporales; Podoscyphaceae.
GUCUCUAUAGCUCAGUGGUAGAGCAUACGAUUGCAGUUGCCCUUGUCAGCAAUUACAUAUCGUGCGGUCCCGUGUUCGAACCACGGUGGGGACU